Molecule: long non-coding RNA, 1234 nt
Filed under: Lactuca sativa (garden lettuce)
Lineage: Eukaryota; Viridiplantae; Streptophyta; Magnoliopsida; Asterales; Asteraceae
Description: long non-coding RNA (LSAT_LNC005606)
Source: RNAcentral
GAAUAUGAUUUUUUUUUUCUUAAUUGUUUUUCUUGAUUUUCAGAUUUAAAAAAAUAAAAAAUAAACAAUAAAAAUAUAAAUAAAUCUCUCUCUCUCUCUCCAAAUACCCAUCUUCUUCUUUCUCUUUCUGUAGAUGAACAAAAAAACACCUAGAACAAAUUGUUGAACACGUCAAUUCUUAAUGGAGAUGGAGAAAAGAGAAUGAGAAAUCAUAUCUAGGGUUAGUCUUCUCCAUCUAUUUUCAUCACUGUUAGGAUCGGUUUACAACACCACCCUCUUCUCAGUUCAUCUUCACCAUCUGUGGCUCGAUUUUCACUGUCACCAAAAAACCCACCCCAACCACACCCUCGAGUACCACGGUAUCAGAAGAUGAAAUAGAGGGCAUAUCGAAUAAGGGAGAAAGAAGAAAACAAAAUCAGAAGACGAAAUCAUGAAGACGAAAUCAAAUCGAGUUCGUGGGUUCUUGGGUUAUUCAUCUGAACACACACACACGGUGAUCUGAAGGCGAAUCGACGGAGGACAAAACCCUAAAUCGAAAUCCGCUUCUCUACCUUAUCUCUCCGACGAUAGUCUUCAGUCGUGAGCUCAUGUCUUCGAUCUCCUCCUUAGACAAGAAUGGAUUUGCACCAGCGAAGUCUGAAAACCUUCUUCAGAUCGACGGAUCUGAAACCCCUCCUCCCCUUCAUAUCUAGUCAUCCAACUUUCUUUCAUCUUUUUUAUUCCUGUAAACAACCAUCGAAGCAUAAAUCCAAUUACACAAAAUCGAUUUCCAGAUAAAGAUGAGGGAUGAACACCCAAGAAUCGAUUUCUAGAAAUUUAGAACACGCACACACACACACAUACACUCUUAAAUUGAUUUCCAGGAACACAAAGACACAAUUUUAGUUUUUGAUUCGAAUUUAGGAAUCUGAUUCUUAAGUUACCCUUGAAAAAAAAAACUCACAAAUGAUUUCCAUUGAGUUAUGAUUUAGAAAAACCUAACUGAAAACGAGAUUGGAAAGAUACCCAAAUGAGAGAUUUUCUUCAAAAGGAGAGAGAGAGAGAUUUGGUUUUUAAUUUUUUUUUAAUCAGAAAAAUAUUUACAUAAAUAAAAAACUAAAAAAUGCUAAAAGCAAAGGCAAAAUCAUCUUUAUAAAAAGGUCCAAAGCAAAUCGGACUAAACUCGCAAUAAAAUGAAAAGUUUAGACCUAUGGUGCUAGUUCAAACAUUUUUAAACCAAAGUGACAAUUUUAAA